Molecule: non-coding RNA, 248 nt
Organism: Drosophila takahashii
Lineage: Eukaryota; Metazoa; Arthropoda; Insecta; Diptera; Drosophilidae
Source: RefSeq, a predicted model, not a curated record
CUUGUUGCAGCUUCAACAUAGCUUUAGCGUGCACCUUAAAUACCUUUUGUGUGUUUUUCUGGCCACUUGCAACUGCAGUGGCUCGCGAAGGGACCAACGAACGCUUCGAGGCAGAAUCCACUGAGAGGCGGUACAACCACAGGGCGUCUCAACUCGUGGCAUCUGAGGCGCGAGUCGCCACUAUUGGACAACGGCGCUUUUAAGCGCCACCCAAAGAGAAUCGUAUAAAAGCGUCGUCGAAGCCAGAC